GCCCGUGUGGCGGAACUGGCAGACGCGCAGCGUUCAGGUCGCUGUUUGGGUAACCGAGUACAGGUUCGAAUCCUGCCACGGGCAUCA
This 87-nucleotide transfer RNA is filed under the name Latilactobacillus sakei. RNAcentral describes it as "Lactobacillus sakei tRNA-Leu". It matches the Rfam family "tRNA". From Rfam's summary of the family: Transfer RNA (tRNA) molecules are approximately 80 nucleotides in length. Their secondary structure includes four short double-helical elements and three loops (D, anti-codon, and T loops). The record is from RNAcentral. Lineage: Bacteria; Bacillati; Bacillota; Bacilli; Lactobacillales; Lactobacillaceae. RNAcentral also lists the same sequence under 3 other names.